Molecule: small RNA, 360 nt
Filed under: uncultured Gilliamella sp.
Lineage: Bacteria; Pseudomonadati; Pseudomonadota; Gammaproteobacteria; Orbales; Orbaceae
Description: cspA thermoregulator
Source: RNAcentral
AUUUAAGCAGUUUGUAGUUUACUUUCUAUUUACAUUAGUAUUAGUUCUCUUCAGCUUUCACGUUUCAGUGUUUAUAAGUAGUCCAAGUUUUAUGUUUUUUAAAUUAGCCCGUCGGCUUUAAAUUUUUUAUAGGAAGAUUAUUAUGUCUAAGAAAACUGGUCAAGUUAAAUGGUUCAACGAAAGUAAAGGUUAUGGUUUUAUUUCUCCUGCUGAUGGUAGCAAAGAUGUAUUUGUACAUUUUUCUGCAAUCGCUGGUGAUGGAUUUAAAACAUUAGGUGAAGGUCAACAAGUUGAGUUUUCUAUCCAAGAUAGCGAACGUGGCCCAGCUGCUGCUGAUGUUGUAGUAAUGUAAUUACUACC